This 84-nucleotide transfer RNA is filed under the name Chryseobacterium hagamense. RNAcentral's name for it is "tRNA-Asp". Lineage: Bacteria; Pseudomonadati; Bacteroidota; Flavobacteriia; Flavobacteriales; Weeksellaceae. The record is from RNAcentral.
CAUCUUUUACGAAGGUUUCAAUCUUCAAAUUUUUGUCAAAAGUUUUAAAAAUAAUUUCAGCCAGUUCAACUCCGGCAAGAAUAC